This is a non-coding RNA of Podarcis muralis (Common wall lizard), 1967 nucleotides long. Lineage: Eukaryota; Metazoa; Chordata; Lepidosauria; Squamata; Lacertidae. The record is from RefSeq and is a predicted model, not a curated record.
AAUUAUGCUGUUCUCCACAGGUGCCUGGAAAAACUCCAGAUGGGACUUCGCACCAUCUCCAGUUUGAGGGAAGAGAAAGACAAUAUGCCUCCUUACCCAGGCAUGGACCCAUAGAACCCAUGGAGUAUAUAGCGGGACAACAGGUGAUGUAUAAAGACAGAGAUCUUCCUUACUAUCAAGCUGGCCACCCAUCAGUACAUCCCUCCAAAGGGAGCUAUGCUCUCCCACAAGAUGGCCCAAGGGCAACAGAGAUAUGGUAUCCUCAGUGUGGUCUCCCACAAGAACCAGUAGGCCAGCACAAAGGACCCCUCCGCCAAGAUGUGCCACCCUCCCCGCCUCAAGGCCACAGGGGGCUGCCUUAUCAUGAAAUGGGCAGACUCGCUCAUCGCCAAGCCGGCCCGGAUCAGUACCAAUACAGGCAUCAAGAUCCUAGGCACAAGGACCGCAUGACUGCGGCCGUAUAGCCUAAAGCCGGACUCCUGUCGAUAUCUCACCUUGCAGCCGUUACCACUGAUCUUGCCUACCCCAGGGGAGAGAUGUCGUUUGAGCCUGUCCAGUUUGCACCCAGGACACGUUCGUGAACAUAACUGCAAGCUCGCAAAAAGCGGUACAAUGACUUUUGGGUACCACCAGCGUGUCGGAGUGUGUGUUUUAACGCUUCCUCAAACGUAGAAGGCGGCAGGUGAAGAGUAAGCAGAAUUUCUUCUAAGCACGCCUUAAAAGUGCCACUCAGGGCUGUUUGCAACUAACUACACAAGCACAUGCUAGAUGCCCACAUUGCAGGGAACUAUUUUGGACAUUGUUUCAGAAAGAGUAUUCCAUGGGUGCCACUGUGUGUGCCCCCAGUAUGGCAGACCCUUCUUUUCUAUGACCUCUGAUUGGAGAAUUGUUUUAAGAGUGGAGAUGGGCUCUCGGUGUGACCUGACAUUUCUCUCUCUUGUCAUAGGGAAAUACUGUUUUGCUCUCAUCCCGGUCAUAUUUUUUAAUUGCCCCUUCAGAUAUUCAGUUUUUCUGUCCCCCUCUUCAGUUUCUCACUUUGUCACAUGGAGACCCUUUGGGGAUUCUUAUUUGCUCUCCCCAGUUGCCAACUCAGAGACGAAAGGAUUGUAGGGAGGGUGGCAGCGGCUAUGUAAGACAACUCGCCCCCAGCACCCAAUUUUGCAGGAAUGAUAGUGGGAGUCUCCCCCUCCCAUACAAACCGUUGCUGGCCAUUCAGGCGCAGCACCCGGCUAUCCUUGCGUUGGCUUUGAAGGCUAGUAUCCUUCUUCAGAUCCCACCCCAGGAAGGAAGGUCAGGGGGAAAUUCUGCAGGGCUGCAGCGCCCAGGGCUUGGUGAGCCUGUAGCAAAGGAGGCUCAUUCUGUUUUAAAAUGAUGGGUUAUCAGAUGGUCAUUUUAAGAGAGAAGACAACAACACACCAGAGGAUCAGAGAUACAGGAUAAGAAUAGUGUUUUAAUGACUCCCAAACAUGUUCCAACAGUGAAGGGAGGAAGCUCAGGUGGUCCCUGAGCUCUAGCUUGCAUUUCUGAGGGAGGUGGUCCUGUUUGCAGGUUAUUGACUGCGGGGGACGUGGAGGGUCUUUUCGGUUCUGUUUAUUUUUACUUGCCACCCUGUCUAACAAAGCCUUUGAAACUUUGAUGAGCUAGGAAUUCGGAGCAGCUCCAGCAUCAUUUUUUUAAACCCCCCCUUUUUUAAAAAAAAAAAUAAUAAUAAUAAAAUCAUCCUUUCCUUUGGACGGCUUUCAAGGCUAUUUAUUCCAUAGCCUUUUUCCUUUCAAGGAAAAGACCUUGGGGCCUGGCCACAGAAGGAGCCGUUGGUUUCCUUUUGGUAUGCAGCAAAUUAACAGGAUUCAUUACACAGGUCGUCUCAUAAUUAUUAUAUAUUGCACAGAGGGGUCAUCUACCAGGCACAGCCAUUUAUCAUUUACCCUUUCUGAAAUGGCUUCAUUAUACCCGCUGGCCUCUAGAGA